This 834-nucleotide ribosomal RNA is filed under the name Parahaliea mediterranea. RNAcentral's name for it is "bacterial SSU rRNA". It matches the Rfam family "Bacterial small subunit ribosomal RNA", at positions 58 to 889 of the family's 1533-position model. The record is from RNAcentral. Lineage: Bacteria; Pseudomonadati; Pseudomonadota; Gammaproteobacteria; Cellvibrionales; Halieaceae.
CAAGUCGAGCGAGAAAGGCCUUCGGGCUGAGUACAGCGGCGGACGGGUGAGUAACGCGUAGGAAUCUACCUGGUAGUGGGGGACAACAUGGGGAAACUCAUGCUAAUACCGCAUACGCCCUAUGGGGGAAAGCGGGGGACCUUCGGGCCUCGCGCUAUCAGAUGAGCCUGCGUAGGAUUAGCUUGUUGGUGAGGUAAAGGCUCACCAAGGCGACGAUCCUUAGCUGGUCUGAGAGGAUGAUCAGCCACACUGGAACUGAGACACGGUCCAGACUCCUACGGGAGGCAGCAGUGGGGAAUAUUGCGCAAUGGGCGAAAGCCUGACGCAGCCAUGCCGCGUGUGUGAAGAAGGCCUUAGGGUUGUAAAGCACUUUCAAUUGGGAAGAAAGGUUGCGUGUUAAUAGCACGUAGCUGUGACGUUACCUUUAGAAGAAGCACCGGCUAACUCCGUGCCAGCAGCCGCGGUAAUACGGAGGGUGCGAGCGUUAAUCGGAAUUACUGGGCGUAAAGCGCGCGUAGGCGGUUUGUUAAGUCGGAUGUGAAAGCCCCGGGCUCAACCUGGGAAUUGCCUUCGAUACUGGCCGACUAGAGUACGAGAGAGGGAGGUAGAAUUCCACGUGUAGCGGUGAAAUGCGUAGAUAUGUGGAGGAAUACCGGUGGCGAAGGCGGCCUCCUGGCUCGAUACUGACGCUGAGGUGCGAAAGCGUGGGUAGCAAACAGGAUUAGAUACCCUGGUAGUCCACGCCGUAAACGAUGUCUACUAGCCGUUGGGAGACUUGAUUUCUUAGUGGCGCAGCUAACGCACUAAGUAGACCGCCUGGGGGAGUACGGCCGC